CUUCCUCGGCCUGCUGCGGGCAGAUGAAGUGGAUGUGCGCGUCGAUGCCGCCGGCAGUCACGAUCUUGCCUUCGGCGGCAAUGAUUUCGGUGGCCGCGCCGAUGGGAAUGGUCACGCCGGGCUGGAUGUCCGGGUUGCCGGCCUUGCCGAUGGCGGCGAUACGGCCAUGCUUGACGCCGAUGUCGGCCUUGACGAUGCCCCAGUGGUCAAUGAUCAGUGCGUUGGUCAGCACCAGGUCCAUGGCCUCGUCGGCCAGCAUCUGGCCCUGACCCAUGCCGUCGCGGAU
Molecule: small RNA, 286 nt
Filed under: Lampropedia cohaerens
Lineage: Bacteria; Pseudomonadati; Pseudomonadota; Betaproteobacteria; Burkholderiales; Comamonadaceae
Description: 5' ureB small RNA
Rfam family: 5' ureB small RNA
Source: Rfam by way of RNAcentral